Molecule: ribosomal RNA, 253 nt
Filed under: uncultured bacterium
Lineage: Bacteria
Description: partial 16S ribosomal RNA
Rfam family: Bacterial small subunit ribosomal RNA
Source: RNAcentral
CACGUAGGGCGCAAGCGUUGUCCGGAAUUAUUGGGCGUAAAGAGCUCGUAGGCGGUCUGUUGCGUCCGCUGUGAAAACUCGGGGCUUAACCCCGAGCCUGCAGUGGAUACGGGCAGACUAGAGGUAGGUAGGGGAGACUGGAAUUCCCGGUGUAGAGGUGAAAUUCGUAGAUAUCGGGAGGAACACCGGUGGCGAAGGCGGCGACCUGGGACGAUACUGACGCUGAGGAGCGAAAGCGUGGGGAGCGAACAGG